RNAcentral lists this ribosomal RNA (917 nucleotides) under uncultured Bacillota bacterium. Its description in RNAcentral is "bacterial SSU rRNA". It matches the Rfam family "Bacterial small subunit ribosomal RNA", at positions 21 to 917 of the family's 1533-position model. The record is from RNAcentral. Lineage: Bacteria; Bacillati; Bacillota.
GGCUCAGGAUAAACGCUGGCGGCGCACAUAAGACAUGCAAGUCGAACGGAAGUCGUUAUAAAAAGGAUUGAAGAUUUAUCUGAUUGAGAUUUUAUAACAAUGGCUUUAGUGGCGGACUGGUGAGUAACGCGUGAGCAACCUGCCUACUAGAGGGGAAUAACAGUGAGAAAUCAUUGCUAAUACCGCAUAUGCCAUGAACAUCACAUGAUGAAAAUGGGAAAAGAGUAAUCUGCUAGUAGAUGGGCUCGCGUCUGAUUAGAUAGUUGGUGGGGUAACGGCCUACCAAGUCGACGAUCAGUAGCCGGACUGAGAGGUUGAACGGCCACAUUGGGACUGAGAUACGGCCCAGACUCCUACGGGAGGCAGCAGUCGGGAAUAUUGCGCAAUGGAGGAAACUCUGACGCAGUGACGCCGCGUAUAGGAAGAAGGUUUUCGGAUUGUAAACUAUUGUCGUUAGGGAAGAUACAAGACAGUACCUAAGGAGGAAGCUCCGGCUAGCUACGUGCCAGCAGCCGCGGUAAUACGUAGGGAGCAAGCGUUAUCCGGAUUUAUUGGGUGUAAAGGGUGCGUAGACGGGACAACAAGUUAGUUGUGAAAUCCCUCGGCUUAACUGAGGAACUGCAACUAAAACUAUUGUUCUUGAGUGUUGGAGAGGAAAGUGGAAUUCCUAGUGUAGCGGUGAAAUGCGUAGAUAUUAGGAGGAACACCGGUGGCGAAGGCGACUUUCUGGACAAUAACUGACGUUGAGGCACGAAAGUGUGGGGAGCAAACAGGAUUAGAUACCCUGGUAGUCCACACCGUAAACGAUGGAUACUAGGUGUAGGAAAUGAUUUCAUUUUCUGUGCCGUCGCAAACGCAAUAAGUAUCCCACCUGGGGAGUACGGCCGCAAGGUUGCGAACUCAAAUGAAUUGACGGA